Molecule: long non-coding RNA, 427 nt
Organism: Drosophila simulans
Lineage: Eukaryota; Metazoa; Arthropoda; Insecta; Diptera; Drosophilidae
Exons: 2
Source: RefSeq, a predicted model, not a curated record
UUUUAAUUUCGAAACACACGAUUUUUUAAAAUACAUUUUAAAGAUAUUUUCAUCAUGUAAUAACAUACACAUCUUUCUGUAAUAAAAGACAAAAAUUAUCUUGAAAAUUCCGAGACUUUAGUAGGCUUAUUAUCUCUUAUUGCCUUCCCAUAUGGUGUCAAUAAAAUAGUACAAAUUUUAAUUUGUAGCGAUAAAUAACAAAGUGUGUGCAUUGUUCAAAGUGCGAAAUGUUUGUGGUAGUGCCAUUCUUAAUGCAAAAAAGAUAACGAAAAUCAGAUCGUGGCUAUCAGAUCUUUUAAAAUGUAUACGUUAGUUCUCCAAUGAAAUGAAAAACUCAAAACAACUAAUAUUGGUUUUAAGCCAAAACAAAGAAUCCGUAUAUUUCAUAACAAUGGUAAAUUGCCGGAGAUAAGAAACAAGUUUGUUU